Non-coding RNA from Xyrichtys novacula (pearly razorfish), 2484 nucleotides. Lineage: Eukaryota; Metazoa; Chordata; Actinopteri; Labriformes; Labridae. The record is from the annotation of a GenBank genome assembly.
GACACACACAUGUAUCUCAAUAAGAUCUACAAAAAAGUCAGUGCGGCCGUAUCUGUCAAAAUUACGGUUAAAGGGUUAUUUCGCAUUUUUUGCCGAUCCGCACACAUUGGAAUUUCGCUAACUCCUCCGAAGGCUUUCGUUCCACCGGCACCACAUUUGCUCAGGCCAAUCUACACCCCGUGGCCAUUAAAAGUUAUCAAAAUCAUGACGCUGCACCCCAAGGUUUAGGUUCUAGGGGGCGCCAAAGAUAACCCUAAAAUCCACAUAUUUAAAAGUCUUAUAACUUUUUAUUUUUGUCCUCACUGGCCUCCAAGUUUUCUAGGAUGAUGCAAUGUCCAGCCAUCAACACAUUUGUGAAGGAAUUUUUACUCCCCAAAAGAGCGCCCCCCCAUGGCAGGAGAAAAAAGUCAAUUUUUUCUUGUCCCCUAAGGUGAAAAUACACAUUGUUGAGUGUCACGCCUAUACGCUUUGUCAAAAUGACACAAAAAUUGACACACACAUGUAACUCAAUAAGAUCUACAAAAAAGUCCAUGCACGCGUAACUGUCAAAUGUACAGUUAAAGGGUUAUUCCGCAUUUUUUGCCGAUACGCACACAUUGGAAUUUCGCUAACUCCUCCGAAGGCUUUCGUUCCACCGGCACCACAUUUGCUCAGGCCAAUCUACACCCCAUGGCCAUUAAAAGUUAUUCAAAUCAUGAUGCUGCACCCCAUGGUUUAGGUUCUAGGGGGCGCCAAAAAUAACCCAAAAAUCCACAUUCUUAAAUGUUUUAUAACUUUUUAUUUUUGUCCUCACUGGCCUCCAAGUUUUCUAGGAUGAUGCAAUGUCCAGCCAUCAACACAUUUGUGAAGGAAUUUUUACUCCCCAAAAGAGCGCCCCCCCAUGGUAGGAGAAAAAAGUCAAUUUUUUCUUGUCCCCUUACAUAAAAAUACACAUUGUUGAGUGUCACGCCUGAACGCUUUGUCAUAUUGACACAAAAAUUGACAAUCAUGUGUAUCUCAAUUAGAUCUACGAAAAAGUCAAAGAGCGCGUAUCUGUAUAAUGUACGGUUAAAGGGCUAUUUUGCAUUUUUUGCCGAUUCGCACACAUUGGAAUGUGGCUAUCUCCUCCUAAGGCUUUCGUCCCACCGAUACCAAAUUUGCUCAGGCCAAUCUACACCCCAUGGCCAUUCAAAGUUGUAAAAAUCAUGACGCUGCACCCCACGGUUUACGUUCUAGGGGGCGCCAAAGAUGACCCAAAAAUCCACAUUCUUAAAAGUCAUUUUGGCCACUGCAGGAGUACAGAGUACUGCAGUUCUAGGGGCGCCAAAGAUGACCCAAAAAUCCACAUUCUUAAAAGUCUUUUUGGCCACUGCAGGAGAACAGAGUACUGCAGGAUACACACACAUAUACACACACGCCAACAUACACACACACACACACACACACACACACACACACACACAGACACACACACACACACUCAGAGUCUGUUUUUUAGCACCUGCAAAAACAUGCUGUUUACAUAUUUGACAAGAAUGCAGAGGCUUCCUUUUGCCCCUGAAAAAAAUCAAAUUUCAAACACAACUUGACUGUUCAUUUCUCCAAAAGACAACCAUGAAGCUCCAUUUCAAACCUGAAGCAGAUAGUUGGUGCAUGUGUACAGUAACCUGAGGGGAGUGAGGUGACUAUUUCUGAGGAGAACAUGAGCAGUGAAGAUUCAACUUGGAGCUAGAACAGAGACAUGCACAUGAUUAUACAGGGGCAGGGGCUCAAGUUUUUUCCAGUCAUUUAUACAAUAUGGAAAUUAAUGUGAAAUUAAACCACAAAUAUGUGUGAUGAACUGUUUUUAAAACUUAAACUUCAAAUAAAAAUUGUAAACUUCAAAACAUAUGCAAAUUUUUAACAAAGAACAUAGUAAUUUACCUCUAUUUACAUCAAAAUGCAGGCAAUGGCCCAGGCGUUCUUUGUAAAAUUAUUUACAAAACACUGUAUAGUCUCACAAAUGUCACUUUUUAUUUAUGCCACUACAAAAAAACAUGAUGUAAAUGAUGCAUGAUGUAAAACAUGAUGUAAAAAACUUGUGUAGAUCCUCCUCUAUGUCAGUCCAUGUGUAAUUUUUCCAUAAUUCUUUGUUUUUUGCAGCAUUUUUGUUAGUGUAACUGCAGAUUGUGCUGACAGUGUCUAUGGCAAAAAAAAAAAAAAAAUUAAAAUGCCUCAACAUGAACCUCUGGUGGUCUCUGAGGGUGAAACCUGCUAACUGCUGCAGCUCUGUCAGCUUCAGUCUCCCAUGCAGAGCUCUGAGCGCAUGUGUGGCUCUGCACCCUUAGCAGCGUUACUAACUCCUCAGUAAGGAAAGCCUGCUUCAUGUCAGAGUCUCUAAACUCCAGAAGAAGUCGAUAAAAGUCCCUUUCUUUCUAAAAAAAAGUCGUUAGGGGGUCUGAAAAGUCAUUGAAUCUAACAACAAAGUCUCUAGGUUUGCAACUACGUGUCCCAGACUGCAUCCCU